This 166-nucleotide ribozyme is filed under the name Tupaia belangeri (northern tree shrew). Its description in RNAcentral is "Hovlinc ribozyme (hominin vlincRNA-located)". It matches the Rfam family "Hovlinc ribozyme (hominin vlincRNA-located)". From Rfam's summary of the family: Hovlinc is a recently evolved class of self-cleaving ribozyme found in a very long non coding RNA (vlincRNA) in hominins, including humans (genus Homo), and chimpanzees and bonobos (genus Pan), but missing in gorillas (genus Gorilla). Lineage: Eukaryota; Metazoa; Chordata; Mammalia; Scandentia; Tupaiidae. The record is from Rfam by way of RNAcentral.
ACCUGGACUAAGCCCAGAAACAUAGUACCACAGAGCUGAUGGGCCAUGUGCUUACUGAAGACAAGAUGUUUCCUUGCAUACUGUGCUAACUUUGCUUUUUGUGAUCCCUGCUAGGGGAGCUCUAGAAUAAGAGUCAGGGACCUCCGACUUUGCCAGCCAACAGCAA